This 468-nucleotide ribosomal RNA is filed under the name uncultured bacterium. RNAcentral's name for it is "partial 16S ribosomal RNA". It matches the Rfam family "Bacterial small subunit ribosomal RNA", at positions 28 to 507 of the family's 1533-position model. The record is from RNAcentral.
GACGAACGCUGGCGGCGUGCUUAACACAUGCAAGUCGAACGGAAAGGCCCUGCUUUUGUGGGGUGCUCGAGUGGCGAACGGGUGAGUAACACGUGAGUAACCUGCCCUUGACUUUGGGAUAACUUCAGGAAACUGGGGCUAAUACCGGAUAGGAGCUCCUGCUGCAUGGUGGGGGUUGGAAAGUUUCGGCGGUUGGGGAUGGACUCGCGGCUUAUCAGCUUGUUGGUGGGGUAGUGGCUUACCAAGGCUUUGACGGGUAGCCGGCCUGAGAGGGUGACCGGCCACAUUGGGACUGAGAUACGGCCCAGACUCCUACGGGAGGCAGCAGUGGGGAAUAUUGCACAAUGGGCGGAAGCCUGAUGCAGCAACGCCGUGUGCGGGAUGACGGCCCUCGGGUUGUAAACCGCUUUCGCCUGUGACGAAGCGUGAGUGACGGUAAUGGGUAAAGAAGCACCGGCUAACUACGUG